RNAcentral lists this ribosomal RNA (253 nucleotides) under uncultured bacterium. RNAcentral's name for it is "partial 16S ribosomal RNA". It matches the Rfam family "Bacterial small subunit ribosomal RNA", at positions 524 to 776 of the family's 1533-position model. The record is from RNAcentral.
UACGUAGGUGGCAAGCGUUAUCCGGAUUUAUUGGGCGUAAAGGGAACGCAGGCGGUCUUUUAAGUCUGAUGUGAAAGCCUUCGGCUUAACCGGAGUAGUGCAUUGGAAACUGGGAGACUUGAGUGCAGAAGAGGAGAGUGGAACUCCAUGUGUAGCGGUGAAAUGCGUAGAUAUAUGGAAGAACACCAGUGGCGAAAGCGGCUCUCUGGUCUGUAACUGACGCUGAGGGUCGAAAGCGUGGGUAGCAAACGGG